UGUGCAAGUUUUCGAUGUGCUAGCAUGCCCCCAUAAGGUGCAUCAUGGCAAUGGUGUAUGAUGUUGUCGACUUCCUCCUCUGGGACGCAACGACGGAAGAUAUGAUCGACACCUAUUUUGAAAAAAAGGGGCUCAUCCUAGUAGUAGUGUUUCAAGUCGUGGAAGAAUUUCUUCUUCUGCUGGUAAGUUAGCUCUGGAGGAAGUACUCCGG
RNAcentral lists this long non-coding RNA (211 nucleotides) under Lathyrus oleraceus (garden pea). RNAcentral's name for it is "Pisum sativum (pea) long non-coding RNA (PSAT_LNC027300)". Lineage: Eukaryota; Viridiplantae; Streptophyta; Magnoliopsida; Fabales; Fabaceae. The record is from RNAcentral.